GAUGAACGCUGGCGGCGUGCCUAAUACAUGCAAGUCGAGCGAACAGACGAGGAGCUUGCUCCUCUGACGUUAGCGGCGGACGGGUGAGUAACACGUGGAUAACCUACCUAUAAGACUGGGAUAACUUCGGGAAACGGGAGCAAAUACGGGAUAAUAAAUUGAACCGCAGGGUUCAAUAAUGAAAGACGGUUUUGCUUGAACUUAUAGAUGAUCCGCCGCCGCAUUGGCUAGUUGGUAAGGAAACGGUUUACCAAGGCAAGGAGGCGUAGCCAACCUGGGAGGGGGAUCGGCCACGCGGGACUGGACACACGGUCCGGACCCCACGGGAGGCCAGGAGUAGGAAUUCUUCCGGAAGGGGCGAAGCCUUGACGAGGCACGCCCGCGUGAGGGAGGAAGGCCUUGGGUUGGUAAACCGCUUUUAUUGGGGAAAAACAAUUGGGUAGGUACCAAGCCACGUCUGACGGGACCUGAAGAAGAAGCCCCGGCUAACUACGUG
Molecule: ribosomal RNA, 496 nt
Filed under: uncultured bacterium
Lineage: Bacteria
Description: partial 16S ribosomal RNA
Rfam family: Bacterial small subunit ribosomal RNA
Source: RNAcentral